Molecule: ribosomal RNA, 215 nt
Filed under: uncultured bacterium
Lineage: Bacteria
Description: partial 16S ribosomal RNA
Rfam family: Bacterial small subunit ribosomal RNA
Source: RNAcentral
UACAGAGGGUGCAAGCGUUAAUCGGAAUUACUGGGCGUAAAGCGCGUGUAGGCGGUUUUCCAAGUUGGGUGUGAAAGCCUUGGGCUUAACCCAAGAAAUGCACUCAGUACUGGAAGACUAGAGGACCCGGAGAGGAGUAGGUGGAAUUCCCAGUGUAGUGGUGAAAUACGUAGAGAUUGGGAAGAACGACCAGUGGCGAAGGCGGCUAUCUGGAC